CCGCAAUAUGCCUUGGAGCUUAGGCUGAUAAAUUUCAUUAUGUAAAUAUGUGUUGUACCUGUAAUAUGUCUUGGAGCUUAAGCUGAUAAAUUUGGUUAUGUUCUAUUAAUGUAGUAACUUCAAAAUCUAUCAUUGCUGCAGGAAAAAUGUAUAAGAAUAGAACACAUCUAAGGGUGCUUAAGGACUGGCAGCCAGCUGAUGUUGUGUUGCAGAAUUAGAGGGCUCUGGUUUUGAUCUUAUUUCAAGGAUCAACAUGGAUUAUAAGGUGACAAUCGAUUUUUUAUUGGCAUUAGUUGAUUCCUAUUCUAUCGAGCUGUCAUGCUUUAUUAUCGGUGAACAAAGAAUAGCCCCAACAUUGGAAGAUGUAGCUAGGAUUACGGGGUUUCCAAUUGAUGGCAUGUCUGUAAUUGGGUGUGAUUACAAAGCAGCUGAAUGCCCGACAUUUGCAAUGAAUUGCUUUUAUCUGCUUGGUUUCUUCAUGAGAAGAACAAGUGUGAAGUAAUUAUUAAAGAGCUACUACAUUUUAAGGACAUUCCCCUAGAUAUAGUCCGAGCUAGUCUUAACCCUUAUGUUAGGGCAUACGUUCUUUAUGUUAUUGGAUGUUUUGUUAUGCCUUCAAGGGAUUUAGGGUCGAUACCUUGCAUGUAUCUCUCCUUGUUGAGAAAUGUUGAUGCCAUAGAAAAUUAUGCAAGGGAAACUGCUUUGUUAUGCCAUUUACAUCACAACUUGAGAGAAUUUAAGAUAGCAAGUGUCGACCCUAGAAAAUGGUCGACAGGUGUUGAUGCGAGAUGAUAUACACAUGGACGAAUUCUG
This 813-nucleotide long non-coding RNA is filed under the name Olea europaea subsp. europaea. Lineage: Eukaryota; Viridiplantae; Streptophyta; Magnoliopsida; Lamiales; Oleaceae. The record is from RNAcentral.